UGCACCAUGUCGGUGUGAGUGCAGGGGCCGAGCAAUAACGACAGCAUCGACUGCGCCCGGAGAAUGUCUGGACGGUCUUUCAAGGACGCGGGUUCAAUUCCCGCCAUCUCCACUA
This 115-nucleotide transfer-messenger RNA is filed under the name Propionibacterium sp. NM47_B9-13. RNAcentral's name for it is "partial transfer-messenger RNA". It matches the Rfam family "transfer-messenger RNA", at positions 259 to 374 of the family's 374-position model. From Rfam's summary of the family: Bacterial tmRNA, also known as 10Sa RNA or SsrA, is named for its dual tRNA and mRNA-like properties. Lineage: Bacteria; Bacillati; Actinomycetota; Actinomycetes; Propionibacteriales; Propionibacteriaceae. The record is from RNAcentral.